UACGAACUGUGCGAACGUUAUUCGGAAUCACUGGGCUUACAGGGUGCGUAGGCGGCCUGUUAAGUAGGGUGUGAAAGCCCCCGGCUCAACCGGGGAAUGGCGCCCUAAACUGGCGGGCUGGAGUGAGAUAGGGGUGUGUGGAACUUCCGGUGGAGCGGUGAAAUGUGUUGAUAUCGGAAGGAACGCCGGUGGCGAAGGCGACACACUGGAUCUUGUCUGACGCUGAGGCACGAAAGCCAGGGGAG
Molecule: ribosomal RNA, 245 nt
Filed under: uncultured Planctopirus sp.
Lineage: Bacteria; Pseudomonadati; Planctomycetota; Planctomycetia; Planctomycetales; Planctomycetaceae
Description: partial 16S ribosomal RNA
Rfam family: Bacterial small subunit ribosomal RNA
Source: RNAcentral